GGCUCAGGACGAACGCUGGCGGCGUGCUUAACACAUGCAAGUCGAACGAUGAAGCAUUUGGGGGUGGAUUAGUGGCGAACGGGUGAGUAACACGUGGGCAAUCUGCCCUUCACUCUGGGACAAGCCCUGGAAACGGGGUCUAAUACCGGAUAACACUCUGUCCCGCAUGGGACGGGGUUAAAAGCUCCGGCGGUGAAGGAUGAGCCCGCGGCCUAUCAGCUUGUUGGUGGGGUAAUGGCCUACCAAGGCGACGACGGGUAGCCGGCCUGAGAGGGCGACCGGCCACACUGGGAUUGAGACACGGCCCAGACUCCUACGGGAGGCAGCAGUGGGGAAUAUUGCACAAUGGGCGAAAGCCUGAUGCAGCGACGCCGCGUGAGGGAUGACGGCCUUCGGGUUGUAAACCUCUUUCAGCAGGGAAGAAGCGAAAGUGACGGUACCUGCAGAAGAAGCGCCGGCUAACUACGUGCCAGCAGCCGCGGUAAUACGUAGGGCGCAAGCGUUGUCCGGAAUUAUUGGGCGUAAAGAGCUCGUAGGCGGCUUGUCACGUCGGAUGUGAAAGCCCGGGGCUUAACCCCGGGUCUGCAUUCGAUACGGGCUAGCUAGAGUGUGGUAGGGGAGAUCGGAAUUCCUGGUGUAGCGGUGAAAUGCGCAGAUAUCAGGAGGAACACCGGUGGCGAAGGCGGAUCUCUGGGCCAUUACUGACGCUGAGGAGCGAA
RNAcentral lists this ribosomal RNA (719 nucleotides) under Streptomyces griseus. RNAcentral's name for it is "bacterial SSU rRNA". It matches the Rfam family "Bacterial small subunit ribosomal RNA", at positions 21 to 757 of the family's 1533-position model. Lineage: Bacteria; Bacillati; Actinomycetota; Actinomycetes; Kitasatosporales; Streptomycetaceae. The record is from RNAcentral.